RNAcentral lists this ribosomal RNA (654 nucleotides) under Triticum aestivum (bread wheat). Its description in RNAcentral is "partial small subunit ribosomal RNA". Lineage: Eukaryota; Viridiplantae; Streptophyta; Magnoliopsida; Poales; Poaceae. The record is from RNAcentral.
AUGACACGCGGGACCCAGCAGCUACUCGCAUGCGGGUGGGACCCACAACUUAUCCACACAAGCAUGCCCGUGCUCAUCAGCGUGCCCCGACCCGAGGCAGCCACGAGCCCGAGCCAGCCCACCCCCCCUCCCCCGCGCCCUCCAUUGCUUGCCCUGCCCCUUUCCUUUCCCACCUUCUUCUUCCUCUACACCGGCAAUGAAGCGCGCCGCCGGCGAGUGAUGUCUAGCUCGACUUCGGCCUCCCGCCAAUCAUGGACGCAGUACGGUCCACUGCCGUUGACAAGAUGCCCCGAUUGCCCUCGCAUGGAGCCUCUGAAGCGUUUGACUUGUGUGAGGGAAGAAAAUGGCAACCGUGGGUGCGAGUUUGUGAAAUGCUUGAGCAAGCCACAGCCGGGCCAGGUUGAAAUUGGAGGGAUCAACCCGAACCCAAGAGCUCAAUUUUGGGGGCGGCAUGCCGUGGAACAAGCCCCCAAUUUGGCGGACAGAGCCAAUCCGAUGAUGCACAAUGCAGAACUGAAGUGUGAAUUGAAGAAAAUUGGCAAGCAACUAAAGCAUCUGAUUGAUUUGAAGCAACAAGCAAAUAUGAUGGCUGGAGCAUUUUAUGGUUGUGUCAUUGCUAUGGGUUUAUUUUACUUGAUGUUCAUCAAUCGCUAG